RNAcentral lists this transfer RNA (73 nucleotides) under Dipodomys ordii (Ord's kangaroo rat). It matches the Rfam family "tRNA". From Rfam's summary of the family: Transfer RNA (tRNA) molecules are approximately 80 nucleotides in length. Their secondary structure includes four short double-helical elements and three loops (D, anti-codon, and T loops). Lineage: Eukaryota; Metazoa; Chordata; Mammalia; Rodentia; Heteromyidae. The record is from Rfam by way of RNAcentral.
GGAGGUAUGGCUUAAGUAGUAAAGUGCCUACCUAACAAGUACAAGGCUCGGAGUUCAAGUCCCAGUACUGUCA